RNAcentral lists this ribosomal RNA (428 nucleotides) under uncultured bacterium. Its description in RNAcentral is "partial 16S ribosomal RNA". It matches the Rfam family "Bacterial small subunit ribosomal RNA", at positions 354 to 796 of the family's 1533-position model. The record is from RNAcentral.
GUGGGGAAUCUUGCGCAAUGGGCGAAAGCCUGACGCAGCCAUGCCGCGUGAAUGAUGAAGGUCUUAGGAUUGUAAACUUCUUUUACCAGGGACGAAACAAAUGACGGUACCUGGUGAAUAAGCCACGGCUAACUACGUGCCAGCAGCCGCGGUAAUACGUAGGUGGCGAGCGUUAUCCGGAUUUAUUGGGUGUAAAGGGCGUGUAGGCGGGACAGCAAGUCAGAUGUGAAAACCAGAGGCUCAACCUCUGGCCUGCAUUUGAAACUGUUGUUCUUGAGUGUCGGAGAGGUAAUCGGAAUUCCGUGUGUAGCGGUGAAAUGCGUAGAUAUACGGAGGAACACCAGUGGCGAAGGCGGAUUACUGGACGAUAACUGACGCUGAGGCGCGAAAGCGUGGGGAGCAAACAGGAUUAGAAACCCUUGUAGUCC